This 253-nucleotide ribosomal RNA is filed under the name uncultured bacterium. RNAcentral describes it as "partial 16S ribosomal RNA". It matches the Rfam family "Bacterial small subunit ribosomal RNA", at positions 524 to 777 of the family's 1533-position model. The record is from RNAcentral.
UACGUAGGGGGCAAGCGUUGUCCGGAUUCAUUGGGCGUAAAGAGCGUGUAGGCGGCCAGGUAGGUCGGUUGUGAAAACUGGAGGCUCAACCUUCAGAGGUCGACCGAAACCAUCUGGCUAGAGUACGGUAGAGGGGAUGGAAUUCCGCGUGUAGCAGUGAAAUGCGUAGAUAUGCGGAGGAACACCGAUGGCGAAGGCAAUCCCCUGGACCUGUACUGACGCUCAUGCACGAAAGCGUGGGGAGCAAACGAGG